UCCAGACUCCUACGGGAGGCAGCAGUGGGGAAUAUUGCACAAUGGGGGAAACCCUGAUGCAGCGACGCCGCGUGAGUGAGGAAGUAUUUCGGUAUGUAAAGCUCUCUCAGCAGGGAAGAAAAUGACGGUACCUGACUAAGAAGCCCCGGCUAACUACGUGCCAGCAGCCGCGGUAAUACGUAGGGGGCAAGCGUUAUCCGGAUUUACUGGGUGUAAAGGGAGCGUAGACGGUUAUGUAAGUCUGGAGUGAAAGCCCGGGGCCCAACCCCGGGACUGCUCUGGAAACUGCGUCGCUGGAGUGCGGGAGGGGCAGGCGGAAUUCCUGGUGUAGCGGUGAAAUGCGUAGAUAUCAGGAGGAACACCGGCGGCGAAGGCGGCCUGCUGGACCGUGACUGACGUUGAGGCUCGAGAGCGUGGGGAGCAAACAGGAUUAGAUACCCGAGUA
Molecule: ribosomal RNA, 445 nt
Filed under: uncultured bacterium
Lineage: Bacteria
Description: bacterial SSU rRNA
Rfam family: Bacterial small subunit ribosomal RNA
Source: RNAcentral